RNAcentral lists this transfer RNA (73 nucleotides) under Aeriscardovia sp. Its description in RNAcentral is "tRNA-Arg". It matches the Rfam family "tRNA". Rfam says of the family: Transfer RNA (tRNA) molecules are approximately 80 nucleotides in length. Their secondary structure includes four short double-helical elements and three loops (D, anti-codon, and T loops). The record is from RNAcentral. Lineage: Bacteria; Bacillati; Actinomycetota; Actinomycetes; Bifidobacteriales; Bifidobacteriaceae.
GCCCCGGUAGCUCAGCGGAAAGAGCAGCUGACUUCUAAUCUGCGUGUCGCCGGUUCGAAUCCGGCUCGGGGCA